RNAcentral lists this long non-coding RNA (130 nucleotides) under Neodiprion lecontei (redheaded pine sawfly). RNAcentral describes it as "uncharacterized LOC124295601". Lineage: Eukaryota; Metazoa; Arthropoda; Insecta; Hymenoptera; Diprionidae. The record is from RNAcentral.
UUAAACAACUUCCAUUCAAAAGUGCACCAGUGGUGCUGCGUGCCGCGGAGCCCGGCAAGCAAAACAUGCCCCGGGAAGAUAGCUGUGGAACCGCCAUUUUGUUUUUUUUGCUGUAAAAAAAUUUGAUAAU